Molecule: unclassified non-coding RNA, 339 nt
Filed under: Serendipita sp.
Lineage: Eukaryota; Fungi; Basidiomycota; Agaricomycetes; Sebacinales; Serendipitaceae
Description: partial contains 5.8S ribosomal RNA, internal transcribed spacer 2, and large subunit ribosomal RNA
Rfam family: 5.8S ribosomal RNA (bases 1-71)
Source: RNAcentral
GUGAGUCAUCGAAUCUUUGAACGCACCUUGCACCCUUUGGUAUUCCGAAGGGUACACCCGUUUGAGUGUCAUUGUAAUCUCACCUUUUCAACUUUUGAUGGUUGGUCAGUGUGGAUAUGGAUGCUGCUGUUUGACAACAGCUCAUCUGAAAUGCCUGAGUGUACCCUGUUUGGUGGUGUAUUCAGUGUAAUAAAACUUCACUGGAGAUGAUCUUAGGAUUGCAUCACUUUGACAUGGCUCUAUGCUUCCAACUGUCUCUUUGGGACAAAUGCUUUGACAGUUUGACCUCAAAUCGGGUGGGACUACCCGCUGAACUUAAGCAUAUCAAUAAGCGGAGGA